UACAGAGGUCUCGAGCGUUAGGCGGAAUCACUGGGCUUAAAGCGUGUGUAGGCGGCGGGCUAAGUACCUUGUGAAAUCCCACGGCUUAACUGUGGAACUGCUGGGUAUGCUGGUUCGCUUGAGCGGUCUAGGGGCGAGCGGAACAAAUGGUGGAGCGGUGAAAUGCGUAGAUAUCAUUUGGAACGCCAACGGUGAAAACAGCUCGCUGGGGACCUGCUGACGCUGAGACACGAAAGCCAGGGGAGCGAACGGG
Molecule: ribosomal RNA, 253 nt
Filed under: uncultured bacterium
Lineage: Bacteria
Description: partial 16S ribosomal RNA
Rfam family: Bacterial small subunit ribosomal RNA
Source: RNAcentral